CACUAAGAAGCUUAUACAGCACUAGCCUUUUAAGCUAGAGAAGGGGAAUCGCCUCCCCCUCAGUGA
RNAcentral lists this transfer RNA (66 nucleotides) under Sceloporus occidentalis. Its description in RNAcentral is "tRNA-Lys". It matches the Rfam family "tRNA". Rfam says of the family: Transfer RNA (tRNA) molecules are approximately 80 nucleotides in length. Their secondary structure includes four short double-helical elements and three loops (D, anti-codon, and T loops). Lineage: Eukaryota; Metazoa; Chordata; Lepidosauria; Squamata; Phrynosomatidae. The record is from RNAcentral.